RNAcentral lists this ribosomal RNA (709 nucleotides) under uncultured bacterium. RNAcentral describes it as "bacterial SSU rRNA". It matches the Rfam family "Bacterial small subunit ribosomal RNA", at positions 47 to 759 of the family's 1533-position model. The record is from RNAcentral.
CGCUACCAUGCAGUCGAGGGGUAUAGUUCUUCGGAACUAGAGACCGGCGCACGGGUGCGUAACGCGUAUGCAAUCUACCUUUCACAGAGGGAUAGCCCAGAGAAAUUUGGAUUAAUACCUCAUAGUAUAGCAGUUUCGCAUGAAACCACUAUUAAAGUCACAACGGUGAAAGAUGAGCAUGCGUCCCAUUAGCUAGUUGGUAAGGUAACGGCUUACCAAGGCAACGAUGGGUAGGGGUCCUGAGAGGGAGAUCCCCCACACUGGUACUGAGACACGGACCAGACUCCUACGGGAGGCAGCAGUGAGGAAUAUUGGACAAUGGGCGCAAGCCUGAUCCAGCCAUGCCGCGUGCAGGAUGACGGUCCUAUGGAUUGUAAACUGCUUUUAUACGAGAAGAAACCCUCCGACGUGUCGGAGCUUGACGGUAUCGUAAGAAUAAGGAUCGGCUAACUCCGUGCCAGCAGCCGCGGUAAUACGGAGGAUCCAAGCGUUAUCCGGAAUCAUUGGGUUUAAAGGGUCCGUAGGCGGUCAGGUAAGUCAGUGGUGAAAGCCCAUCGCUCAACGGUGGAACGGCCAUUGAUACUGUCUGACUUGAAUUAUUAGGAAGUAACUAGAAUAUGUAGUGUAGCGGUGAAAUGCUUAGAGAUUACAUGGAAUACCAAUUGCGAAGGCAGGUUACUACUAAUGGAUUGACGCUGAUGGACGAAAG